GACGAACGCUGGCGGCGUGCUUAACACAUGCAAGUCGAGCGGAAAGGCCCUGCUCUUGCGGCUUGCUCGAUUGGCGAACGGGUGAGUAACACGUGAGUAACCUGCCCUUGACUUUGUGGUAACUUCACGAGACUGGGUCUAAUACCGGAUAGGAGCUCCUGCUCCACAUUGGGGGUUGGAGAGUGUCGGCGGUGGGGGAUUGACUCGCGGGUUAUGAGCUUCUUUGUCUGGUAGUUGCUUUCCAAGUCUUUGACGGCUAGGCGGCCUGAGAGGGUGACCGGCCACAUUGGGACUGAGAUACGGACCAGACUCCUACGGGAGGCAGCAGUGGGGAAUAUUGCACAAUGGGCGGAAGCCUGAUGCAGCAACGCCGCGUGCGGGAUGACGGCCUUCGGGUUGUAAACCGCUUUCGCCUGUGACGAAGAGUGAGUGACGGUAAUGGGUAAAGAAGCACCGGCUAACUACGUG
RNAcentral lists this ribosomal RNA (468 nucleotides) under uncultured bacterium. RNAcentral describes it as "partial 16S ribosomal RNA". It matches the Rfam family "Bacterial small subunit ribosomal RNA", at positions 28 to 507 of the family's 1533-position model. The record is from RNAcentral.